This is a long non-coding RNA of Oxyura jamaicensis (ruddy duck), 841 nucleotides long. RefSeq lists it as uncharacterized. The record is from RefSeq and is a predicted model, not a curated record. The transcript is spliced from 2 exons. NCBI's taxonomy places the organism in Eukaryota, Metazoa, Chordata, Aves, Anseriformes, Anatidae.
CUUGGUACGCACUUAUAGGCAGUGUAGGGUAGCUUGCAUCUUAUGACACCCCAACUUCACUCACCAUUCUCCAAAAGUACCAAAAGUAUCCUGUAGCACCUGUGUGGACAUGUGCCAGGGAAUAUUGGCAAAAGCAGGUCCAGCAAUGUAAUCUUUCUGGCAAUUGUGAGACCAAAACUCAAACCAAGACUCCUCCACACAACACAGUGAAUCCAGGGAAGGUCUACAAGGCGGUUUGAGACUGGCACACCAUACAAAGAAGGAAAGCCCGAGAGAGCUUUGUUUGUUCAGACUGGAGAGGACACAGCUCAAGGAAGACUUUGUGCAUACAAAUAACUGUUUGGAUGAUAAAGAAAAAAUAGGAUUUUCUUAGAGAGGAAUACUGAUAGAAUGAGAGGCAAUAAACAGGUGGAACACUGAAAAUUCCCACCAAACUUUAGAAAAGAAAAAUACCACAAGGCUGGUCAAACACUGGACAAAGUUGUCUUGUGGAGCUGAAGAAUCUCCAUCUUUGCAAGACGUUCAAGACUCAGUUCAACACAGUCCUGUUUUUGAGCAGGGGUUUGGACUAGAUGAUCUUCAGAGAACCCCUCAACCUAAAUUAUGAUUCCAUGAAACUGAGAAAAACAGACAGAAAAUGUGAAAAUCCACAUAUUCAUAAUUUUAUUUUUCCCAGUAGCAGUUAUUGUUUAUCUAGAAAUCUAUGCAUAUAGGUUUGUUGAUCAUAUUGUUUGGGUAUUUUGACAACUAGUUUAUACUGUGCUUUCUCACAUCUUAUGUGCAACUCAAGGUCUUGGGACUAAAAUUAAAAAACAUUGAAAUAAAUAGUGCAGCAACUCUG